UUUGGUUCACUGUAGACCGAUCCUACAAGGCAUUUCAUGACAUAGUCACUCAUCAAACAGGUAGUAGUCUUGAAAACAUAAAUGAUAUUAAUGGUAUUGGAGAUGAAGAAGGUGAAGACAAAGAAGCUGAAGUUAUUAAUAGGUAAGUAGAACAGUCUCAAAAACAAGUGAGGAGAAGUAUCAAAAACGGUAAAAAGCAAGUCACUGGGGAAUUACCUAAAAAGGUAAUACCGAAGAGAAAUGUGGGGACAAAUAAAAUCAGUCAAUAAAGAUGAAAGCAAUUUUUUGGAAUAUAAGGUCUGUUAAUACUCAACAAGCAUUCACUAGACUCCAAAUACUUAAUAGAAAUCAUAAAUUUUUCAUAAUAUCUCUUAUGAAGCCUUUCCAACAAGUUGGCCAGAUCCAAAGAUUUAGGAGAAAAUUAAAUAUGCACAGUACUGAAG
Molecule: long non-coding RNA, 443 nt
Filed under: Capsicum annuum
Lineage: Eukaryota; Viridiplantae; Streptophyta; Magnoliopsida; Solanales; Solanaceae
Description: long non-coding RNA (CANN_LNC011390)
Source: RNAcentral